AAACUCAAAGGAAUUGACGGGACCCGCACAAGCAGCGGAGCGUGUGGUUUAAUUCGUUGCUACACGAAGAACCUUACCUGGGUUUGACAUAUAGGUUGUAGGGAACUGAAAAGGGACCGACCUUCGGGGAGCCUAUACAGGUGUUGCAUGGCUGUCGUCAGCUCGUGUCGUGAGAUGUUCGGUUAAGUCCGCUAACGAGCGCAACCCUCGUCGUAUGUUAUAUGUGUCAUACGAGACUGCCGGUAAAAGCCGGAGGAAGGUGAGGAUGAUGUCAAGUCAGCAUGACCUUUAUAUCCAGGGCUACACACACGCUACAAUGGUCUGUACAAUGGGUAGCCAAGCCGCGAGGCGGAGCCAAUCCUGAAAGCAGGCCUCAGUUCAGAUUGCAGUCUGCAACUCGACUGCAUGAAGCCGGAGUUGCUAGUAACCGCAGGUCAGCAAUACUGCGGUGAAUACGUUCCCGGGUCUU
Molecule: ribosomal RNA, 469 nt
Filed under: uncultured Anaerolineaceae bacterium
Lineage: Bacteria; Bacillati; Chloroflexota; Anaerolineae; Anaerolineales; Anaerolineaceae
Description: bacterial SSU rRNA
Rfam family: Bacterial small subunit ribosomal RNA
Source: RNAcentral